AACGAACGCUGGCGGCAUGCCUAACACAUGCAAGUCGAACGAGACCUUCGGGUCUAGUGGCGCACGGGUGCGUAACGCGUGGGAACCUGCCCUUAGGUUCGGAAUAACUCCCCGAAAGGGGUGCUAAUACCGGAUAAUGUCUUCGGACCAAAGAUUUAUCGCCUUUGGAUGGGCCCGCGUUGGAUUAGCUAGUUGGUAGGGUAAAAGCCUACCAAGGCGACGAUCCAUAGCUGGUCUGAGAGGAUGAUCAGCCACACUGGGACUGAGACACGGCCCAGACUCCUACGGGAGGCAGCAGUGGGGAAUAUUGGACAAUGGGCGAAAGGCUGAUCCAGCAAUGCCGCGUGAGUGAUGAAGGCCUGAGGGUUGUAAAGCUCGUUUACCCGGGAUGAUAAUGACAGUACCGGGAGAAUAAGCGCCGGCUAACUCCGUG
Molecule: ribosomal RNA, 433 nt
Filed under: uncultured bacterium
Lineage: Bacteria
Description: partial 16S ribosomal RNA
Rfam family: Bacterial small subunit ribosomal RNA
Source: RNAcentral